CAGCUUGUUGGUGAGGUAACGGCUCACCAAGGCGACGACGGGUAGCUGGUCUGAGAGGACGACCAGCCACACUGGAACUGAGAUACGGUCCAGACUCCUACGGGAGGCAGCAGUGGGGAAUCUUGCGCAAUGGGCGAAAGCCUGACGCAGCGACGCCGCGUGGGGGAUGAAUGCCUUCGGGUUGUAAACCCCUUUCGGCAGGGACGAAGCGAACGUGACGGUACCUGCAGAAGAAGUCCCGGCUAACUACGUGCCAGCAGCCGCGGUAAGACGUAGGGGACGAGCGUUGUCCGGAUUUAUUGGGCGUAAAGAGCGCGUAGGCGGCUUGGUAAGUCGGAUGUGAAAUCCCGGGGCUCAACCCCGUGACUGCACCCGAAACUGCCCGGCUAGAGGUAGGUAGGGGAGAUCGGAAUUCCUGGUGUAGCGGUGAAAUGCGCAGAUAUCAGGAGGAACACCGGUGGCGAAGGCGGAUCUCUGGGCCUUACCUGACGCUCAGGCGCGAAAGCUAGGGGAGCAAACAGGAUUA
RNAcentral lists this ribosomal RNA (526 nucleotides) under uncultured Actinomycetes bacterium. RNAcentral describes it as "SSU rRNA". It matches the Rfam family "Bacterial small subunit ribosomal RNA", at positions 242 to 780 of the family's 1533-position model. Lineage: Bacteria; Bacillati; Actinomycetota; Actinomycetes. The record is from RNAcentral.